The submitters of this non-coding RNA (136 nucleotides) gave its source as unclassified sequences. The record is from Rfam.
GCUCUGCUAUCGUUACGGCGUAGCAGGCCGACCUAAAAUCUUAUGGUCAGCCGUGUUGUCCUGCUUCGGCGAAUACCUUUGGGGGUCUGGUAGAACGCUUAGUAGUCACCAUAUUGUGACGAACAGCGCGGCCAGC